Molecule: small RNA, 290 nt
Filed under: Microtus ochrogaster (prairie vole)
Lineage: Eukaryota; Metazoa; Chordata; Mammalia; Rodentia; Cricetidae
Description: 7SK RNA (ENSMOCG00000006407.1)
Rfam family: 7SK RNA
About the family: 7SK was discovered as an abundant small nuclear RNA in the mid-70s but a possible function has only recently been suggested. Two independent studies have found that 7SK RNA binds the CDK9/cyclin T complex (known as elongation factor P-TEFb).
Source: RNAcentral
AGAUGGGAGGGUGGUCUGCCUACGACAUCUGUGGUCACAAUUUAUUGAUCAUCAUUGAUCAGCAGGCGUGAUUCGGCUGAUCUGGCUGGAUGGAUAGAGUGUUGUUUCUCCCUCACUAUCCCACGCCUGUUCCUCCUGAAGCCACGCACCCACGCACGAAGAGCAUGACCUUCCCUAAAGGGAAGAGCUUUGCUGUGGGCAAGGAUAUGCAGUGCCGCAUCCUCCUUCCAGAACGUCCAAAGCAGCUCUCAGAAUCAGGAACACCAUCUGCUGAUUCUCAUCCCCCCAGG